AUGCCGCAGAUUCCCCUCCUUCUGUGUUUCAUCACAGAAAGCUCUACUGGCCACCAGCCUCCACACGCCCUAGCGCCUAACACGGGCAUUAAAGGAGGUCAGUGGAAGGUGACUAAUGUGUCUAAAGUCAUACACCCUCCACGCCAGAGAUGGGACUACAGUCUAAAGUCAUACACCCUCCACGCAAGAGAUGGGACUACAGUCUAAAUUCAUACACCCUCCACGCAAGAGAUGGGACUACAAUCUAAAUGCAUACAUCCUUCCACGCCAGAGAUUGGACUACAGUCUAAAGCCAUACACCCUCCACGCAAGAGAUGGGACUACAUUCUAAAGUCAUACACCAUCCACGCCAGAGAUGUGACUACAGUCUAAAGCCAUACACCCUCCACGCAAGAGAUGGGACUACAUUCUAAAGUCAUACAUCCCUCCAUGCCAGAGAUGGGACUACUAUCCCAGUCCCUCUAUUCAGCCUCUCAUACGCACCUGUCUGAGUUCAGUGAGGUCUCUAAAGACAGGCUGCUAUCAUAUUAAAUGAACCCUAUGGUUCCAUAAAGUAUUCACAUUUCCCAUCUUUGCAUUUCAAUUUUAGUCUUUGUUCCUGCAUACUAGCUCCCUCUGUCUCCUUUGUGUUCUUCCUCAGCCCACCCUAAAACCCUUUCCUCUGAUCUCCUACAAGUUUCCUAUUUUUUCUUCUUCUCUUUUUUUGUUUGUAGCAAUGCAAUGAACAUCAUUUGCUCUCAUUAUGCCUUAUACAUUGCCAGAUAUAUCAUAGUCUUUCUAACAGUAUUAGAAGCUUCUUCUCUGGGGCAGGAGAUCCAUUGCUAUGACUGGGGAGGGAUGCAUUUGGGGUCAGGCUGGGAUGUGGGGGCCCCAGUGCUGGGGGGCAGGAAAGAUGUGAGACCUAAGAGGUGGGGAUGAUGCAGAGCAUGGCUAACAAGUAGAGUAGGCCCGGAGGGGUCGACCAGAAGUCCACCCCGGUUGCUGCCGGCAAGUGUUUCUAUGCACAGAGUUGCCCUCUUGUUGAGAGGCACCCCCAGACACUGUGCGUGCAGCAUGCCAGGGACAGGUGGGACACAGGAGGGCAUCCAGCACCUCACCUCAGAAUGCAGGGAGAGGUCACACAGACAAUAGAGGGAUGAAGACACUGGGACAGUCACACGGCACCAGCUCUAGGGGCUUAGAGUCAUGUUAAGACCUUAAUCCCAACAAAGAAAAAGAGAGCAGGACUGAAAACAAUCCAAGCCUAGUUAUAAAGACAAUUGAAGAAAUGAGGAGAGUUUGGCAAUGUUUGACCAUUUGUGCUGAUGAUAAUAAUAAUAAUAAUAAAACCCUUAUCAUGUCCA
Molecule: long non-coding RNA, 1343 nt
Filed under: Sus scrofa (pig)
Lineage: Eukaryota; Metazoa; Chordata; Mammalia; Artiodactyla; Suidae
Description: lncRNA (ENSSSCG00050014672.1)
Source: RNAcentral